GCAAGUCGAACGAGAAGCAGGUGCUUGCACCUGUGGACAGUGGCGAACGGCUGAGUAACACGUAGGAACCUACCCCUUGGACCGGGAUAACAGAGGGAAACUUCUGCUAAUACCGGAUAUAUUCUUCGGAAGGAAAUGGUCCGCCGCCGAGGGAGGGGCCUGCGGCGUAUUAGCUUGAUGGUGAGGUAACGGCUCACCAUGGCUAUGAUACGUAGCUGGUCUGAGAGGACGAUC
This 234-nucleotide ribosomal RNA is filed under the name uncultured bacterium. RNAcentral's name for it is "partial 16S ribosomal RNA". It matches the Rfam family "Bacterial small subunit ribosomal RNA", at positions 57 to 305 of the family's 1533-position model. The record is from RNAcentral.